RNAcentral lists this ribosomal RNA (118 nucleotides) under Tropilaelaps mercedesae. Lineage: Eukaryota; Metazoa; Arthropoda; Arachnida; Mesostigmata; Laelapidae. The record is from RNAcentral.
GCCAUCGGCCAUACCACGUUGAGUACGCCGGUUCUCGUCCGAUCACCGAAGCUAAACAACGUUGGGCCCGGGUAGUACUUGGAAGGGAGACCGCUGGGAACACUGGGUGUUGAUGGCA